ACAGCAAAAUAAAUAUUAAUAUAAUUCUUUGUAAAGACAAAAGAUCAAAUGUUAUGUUCAAAGUCAUGCAUUUAUACUUUUUUUAGAGACGGGUGUAGCUAGCGGCAGCAACUAGCAACUAGAAGGAGACUUGGGAGUCUAGGAGAUACUCACAGGUCAGCAGCAGCAUGUGUCAAACCGUGCACCAGAUUGCACGCCGAGCUAAGGAAACUUGGCGACGAUUCAGACCUGGCUGCAUUAAGAUACUCAAUCUUUUAAUGGCAACACAUGCGUAACCGCUUGCACCUCGAAGGCUGCUCUAAAAUAUGCAUCACGAGCUCCAUGUCUCCACGGUUGUAUCAAGACCAAAGCGAAGUCCACGCUGAUGCAGACUCAUCCGGUUCAGUUGCUUACUUAACCAUUCCUGCUUUAUCCAGAAACCCUGACAGACUUCACAGCUAAGAUCAGAAUGCAACAAUGAAGAAUCCAAGUGAUAGAUAUGAAACCAUAGUUCUGAAUAUCGCCGUCGCCAUCGCCGCGACGGUGGGGAAAUUUCAUCCAAAUUCAGCAAGGGGAACAAAAAAAGACAAGCUUGAUUGUAUACCGAAUAAGAUGCACGUUUUAACUCCUCUUUUAGCUCAUGUUUAUGCUUAUAAGCCAAAAUUUAAAUUUUCAACCUUAAAUUUAUAGUUGAUUUUAAAAUUUCACCAAAGUUUAUUUUUCAACCUUAACUUUUAGAUCGCUAAAAAAUAUAUAGAGAGAGAUUUUAUUCACAAACUAUUUUCUGUUGACAAAUAUGUCGCCAAAUAAACACCCUAUUGGCUGUUUAAUUCACGUUUUCUGAAACAUUUGAUCCGCAUGAAGAAACAAAAUAAAGUUGAUGGCUUGUACCACUUGCCGAAUCGGAAAGCGAGGUUUAUAAACCAGUACAGCGAAGUGACUGGUAGAGCAACAAUUAUUUUGAUGAAGACGUUGAAGAAAAUAAAUCAUUUUCCAAGGCAUGGCACAAGUGCUCAUAUCUUUGUCUCUAUGGAGGUAGGGCCUUUCUUGGUUGAUUGGCAGGACUGAUCAAUCUCAUCAUGGCCUUGUCCUGAUUCAUGAGCCUCUUACCUCGACAGCACAGCUGCACAGGUAGUCCUGAAACUUCUCCUGCAAACAGUACAAUCAGAUGAAUCACCAUGGGACGACAAAAGAUACAACUACAUCUGUUCUUUUUCUGAAGUAAGAAAAUACCAAAAGAUUGUUUAUGCAUCAAAUUGGGAGAUAAAAGAUGGAAUGAACUACAAUUUCUGAUAUUGUAUAAGGUGGUAAUCUUUUGGCAGUUUGGAGGAAAAACGAAACGAAAUAUUUAUAAACAAAAAAUAAUUUAUAAAUAUUUUUUUUAUUCUUAGUGAUUUAAAAGCAAAGGUUGAAAAUUAAACUAUGAUAAAGAAAUCUUAAAAUUAACUCUAAAUUUAAGAUUAAAUAUUCAACUUUUAGUUUAUAAGUGUAACCAAAAGUGAAGAGACGUGUUGUUAUUGUUCGCCUUCCGUAUCCAAUCUACAGUUGCGAAUUACAGUACUAGACUAUAAAUGGUCCUAGCCUUUUCCAUAAACGAUAAGGGAUGCAUUCAUAUUGUAGCCUUCUCCAGGGAACGAGAUCUCAAGCAACAUCAAGGUAAGUUACCAGCACUUACUGUGCAAUCAGCAGAAGAUACAUGAAUAGUGCCACUAGGGUAGUGGCCCUAAUCCUACCCCUAAAUCUAAAUGCCCAUUGUAUAUUUCCACCUCCAAGCACCUACUAGGCUACUACUGCAUCUGCUGCUCCGUUUUCCAGUAAAAUGGCACCAGGCCAUUUUCGCAGAAGUUGUGGGCUGAGUUCAAGUGGUUCCAACCCUAAUCGUGCUACAUUGCCCACAAAUUUCGAUCCAGAUCGACUGAAUGGACAAGUAUAAUCCGCGACACUUCCAAAACGAUUUUAGCGGAUAAAAAUCACCUGGAUUGGAGAUUUCACAAGGGAUGAUGUGUACCGGGUUAGAGCGAGCGACUCGACGGAGACGGGACGGGAGGCCGCACCUUGCCGCCGACGAGGACCACGCGGCCGGAGAUCCCCGUCGACGGCAGCGGCGACCAGCCUCCGGCAGAUCAUCCCGCCGCCUCCCUCUCGCGGUCUCGCCCCUCUCCUCCUCUCUCUGCUUACCUCCGUUGCGGACUUGCGGUUCGAACAGCCCAAGCAUUGG
RNAcentral lists this long non-coding RNA (2197 nucleotides) under Oryza brachyantha (malo sina). RNAcentral describes it as "long non-coding RNA (OBRA_LNC002526)". The record is from RNAcentral. Lineage: Eukaryota; Viridiplantae; Streptophyta; Magnoliopsida; Poales; Poaceae.